UUUUUUAUUAAGCAGUAGUGGUCAAAGUUAGCUUUGGCACAUGUGCUCCAGUUGCUGUAUAGACAUACCCACUGUGUGGUCAAAAAGGAGUGCAUUUAGUUUAUGCUCUUUGGCAGGCCACAACUUGAAGAAGCUUUAGAUUAUACAGAAACUAACAGGUAUAUUUGUAAUGCUAACAAAACUUUUUCAAGAAAGAGAUUCAAGGAAGAAGGAAACUGGAAGAGUGACUGCACAUAUUCCUUAAAUUAUUCUCAGAUGAAUACAUUUUAAGAUCAGUUCACUUGUUUAGCACGGUGUGAUCAUCCCUGGAAGCACUGGGCCAGCUUGAGUUGAGUCCAUUUUUUUUCUUUUGUUCCUGAAAUCUACCUUUCAUUUUUUUUUUUUUUUUUUUUUUUUGGUGUGCAACUUCAAAAUUACCAUUGCUUCAUAACAGAUCAAGCCAAAAAUUAAAAGAUGCUGUUCAUGUCUCACUUAAAUCCCAGAUGUUUACUUCAACUAAUUCUUUUCAGGAUCAUAGUCGCGUUUAUGUUCUGCUUGAUUUUUAAGCAGUUCAUCUUGUAAAUUGAUUUCUGAGCAGCUACCUGACAAUUUACCAUCUACCUUCCAUCUUCAGAUUAAAUGUUUUAUUCCCAUAAAUAGAAAAACAUGAAAAUAAGGGACAAACCUCAUUGCCUAUUUUUAUUACUAGAGAUAAUUUUCAAUGUGGAUGUGUUGGUUCUGGAACACUUUAUCACUGUAAGUCUGUAUUAUCAAAUAUAUUCACUUCCGUCGGAAUGGGUGUGGUAAUAAAAACUAGUUGCCCCAUUCUUGAGCACUACUUAAAAUGAAAGCAAGGUAAUUCACACUUAAAUGAGAACCACACAGUGUGUCUCACUGGAUUACCUUUCCAUGCCUUUUCAUAACAAACAAGGUAUCUUAGUUAUUCUAAUUUCUGUUUUUUCUAUGUCUGUCAAAAGUAUUUCAGUUUGUAAAGACUCCCAGCUUGGUAGCUAUAAAAUAUUUAUACAACCCUACUGAGCAUAUGGAAAGUAUUCUUAUCUGUACCAUGUGUCUAUCCAGUUGACUCAUCAGAAUUCAUGGAAUUAUUAACCUAAGAUGCUUUCAGACAUCAGUGCUAUAAAGGUUGAUUAGCUUAUUAGUUACUUUCCUUUCUUAAGUCUCUCCCAGAAAUCUUGUCUCUGCUAAUAGAACGAUAUCCUAGCACAACAAGUACUGUGGUUGUGCCCACAAAUACGUUCAGAUAACUAAGUAUUUCAGUAACCACCUCCAUACAAUAUUUUGUUAAAGGAUCUGGGGACUCUGCCUUAUGAAACCAAGUGUUCCAAGCAGUUUGAAAUUCUAAAACUGAUUUCAGUGUAGAAAGUCAUGGUCACAUGUUAGUUUCCCCAAACAUAAACUUUUAUUUAUGGGGGAAAGAUGUGAAUCUUCUGUUUUUUGGUGGUUUUUUUUUUUAAACAGGAAAGAAAUCAAAGCAUUAGACCACUUUUCUCUUUGCUAUUGCUGAUAAUCCAUAGUUGUAUAAGUAUAAGCACUGAUCAGUAUACAGCACUCACAAACAUUAAAAUAUAACCAAAUAC
Molecule: long non-coding RNA, 1577 nt
Organism: Dermochelys coriacea (leatherback sea turtle)
Lineage: Eukaryota; Metazoa; Chordata; Testudines; Dermochelyidae
Exons: 3
Source: RefSeq, a predicted model, not a curated record